RNAcentral lists this ribosomal RNA (431 nucleotides) under uncultured bacterium. RNAcentral's name for it is "partial 16S ribosomal RNA". It matches the Rfam family "Bacterial small subunit ribosomal RNA", at positions 29 to 507 of the family's 1533-position model. The record is from RNAcentral.
AACGAACGCUGGCGGCAGGCCUAACACAUGCAAGUCGAGCGCCCCGCCAGGGGAGCGGCGGACGGGCGAGUAACGCGUGGGAAUAUGCCCUUUGCUACGGAAUAGUCUCGGGAAACUGGGGGUAAUACCGUAUACGCCCUACGGGGGAAAGAUUUAUCGGCGAAGGAUUAGCCCGCGUUGGAUUAGGUCGUUGGUGGGGUAAUGGCCUAGCAAGCCGAUGAUCCAUAGCUGGUGUGAGAGGAUGAUCAGCCACACUGGGGCUGGGACGCGGUCCAGACUCCUACGCGAUGGAGCAGUGGGGAAUCUUAGACAAUCGCGUCAACCCAGAUCUAGCCAUGCCGCGUGAGUGAUGAAGGCCUGAGAGUUGUAAAGCACUUUAAGCUGGGAAGAUAAUGACGGUACCAGCAGAAGAAGCCCCGGCUAACUCCGUG